RNAcentral lists this long non-coding RNA (446 nucleotides) under Homo sapiens (human). RNAcentral describes it as "non-protein coding lnc-NAP1L2-4:4". Lineage: Eukaryota; Metazoa; Chordata; Mammalia; Primates; Hominidae. The record is from RNAcentral.
AUUAUUCGCAAGAUCCAAUAUAUCAAUAUAAUCUAAACGUCCACUGAUAAAUAAAGAAAAUGUGGUAUAUCUUAAAACUAUUACAAAAAAUCGAAGAGGAGGACUUUCUCCCUUACUCAUUCUACAAGGUCAGUAUUAUUUUGAUACCAAAACCAGACAAAGACACAAAAAGAAAAGAAAACUACAGUCCAAUAUCCCUGAUGAGCAUAGACACAAAAAUCUUCAGCAAAAUACUGGCAAACCAAAUCCAACAGCACAUCAAAAAACGUAAUACAAUAUGAUCAGUUGAUAUUUACCCCAGGGAUUUAAGGGGUAUUUACCCCAGGGAUUUAAGUUGAUAUUUAUACCAGGGAUUCAAUAUGUAUAAAUCAAUAAAUGUGAUACAUCAUGUCAACAGAAUCAAGGACAAAACCCAUAUGACCAUUUCAACAGACACAGAAAAAUCA